GCAUAUCAAUAAGCGGAGGAAAAGAAACUAACAAGGAUUCCCCUAGUAACGGCGAGUGAAGCGGGAAGAGCUCAAAUUUGUAAUCUGGCCCUUUCAGGGUCCGAGUUGUAAUCUCGAGAAGUGUUUUCCGCGCCGGACUGCAUACAAGUCUGUUGGAAUACAGCGUCAUAGUGGUGAGAGCCCCGUAACUGAUGCAGAUGCCCGGUGCUUUGUGAUACACUUUCGAAGAGUCGAGUUGUUUGGGAAUGCAGCUCAAAUUGGGUGGUAAAUUCCAUCUAAAGCUAAAUAUUGGCGAGAGACCGAUAGCGAACAAGUACCGUGAGGGAAAGAUGAAAAGCACUUUGGAAAGAGAGUUAACAGUACGUGAAAUUGUUGGAAGGGAAACGCUUGAAGUCAGACUUGCUAUUCGGAAUUCAGCCGCAAGGUGUACUUUUCGAUUUGCAGGCCAGCAUCAGUUUUUGGGGGUGGAAAAGGGUGGAGAGAAGGUAGCAACCUCGGUUGUGUUAUAGCUCUUUACUGGAUUCAUCUUUGGGGACUGAGGAUCGCAGUGCGCAAUUCAUUUUGCAAACCUUUCGAGGUUUUCGUACUUAGGAUGCUGGUGGAAUGGCUUUAAACGACCCGUCUUGAAACACGGACC
This 637-nucleotide ribosomal RNA is filed under the name Glaciozyma antarctica. RNAcentral describes it as "eukaryotic LSU rRNA". It matches the Rfam family "Eukaryotic large subunit ribosomal RNA", at positions 38 to 667 of the family's 3401-position model. The record is from RNAcentral. Lineage: Eukaryota; Fungi; Basidiomycota; Microbotryomycetes; Kriegeriales; Camptobasidiaceae.